GACGAAACGUGCAAACGUUAUUCGGAAUCACUGGGCAUAAAGGGCGCGUAGGCGGCUCCAAAAGUCAGGGGUGAAAUCCGGCAGCUUAACUGUCGCAGUGCCUUUGAUACUGUGGAGCUAGAGGGAGGUAGGGGUCUGUGGAACUUCCGGUGGAGCGGUGAAAUGCGUUGAUAUCGGAAGGAACGCCGGUGGCGAAAGCGGCUUUCUGGUCUGCUCUUGACGCUGAGGCGCGAAAGCUAGGGUAGCAAACGGG
This 253-nucleotide ribosomal RNA is filed under the name uncultured bacterium. RNAcentral's name for it is "partial 16S ribosomal RNA". It matches the Rfam family "Bacterial small subunit ribosomal RNA", at positions 524 to 776 of the family's 1533-position model. The record is from RNAcentral.